RNAcentral lists this ribosomal RNA (99 nucleotides) under uncultured bacterium. RNAcentral describes it as "partial 16S ribosomal RNA". It matches the Rfam family "Bacterial small subunit ribosomal RNA", at positions 1386 to 1482 of the family's 1533-position model. The record is from RNAcentral.
CACACCGCCCGUCACACCAUGGGAGUUGGAUUGACCCGAAGGUGGUGAGCUAACCCGCAAGGGAGGCAGCCAACCACGAUCGGUUCAGCGACUGGGGUG